ACCCAACUGACGAGUCCCAACUAGGACGAAACGCUCAUCCUGGAU
Schistosoma haematobium is the source of this 45-nucleotide non-coding RNA. The record is from Rfam. Lineage: Eukaryota; Metazoa; Platyhelminthes; Trematoda; Strigeidida; Schistosomatidae.